This 83-nucleotide transfer RNA is filed under the name Tepidisphaera sp. RNAcentral's name for it is "tRNA-Leu". It matches the Rfam family "tRNA". Rfam says of the family: Transfer RNA (tRNA) molecules are approximately 80 nucleotides in length. Their secondary structure includes four short double-helical elements and three loops (D, anti-codon, and T loops). The record is from RNAcentral. Lineage: Bacteria; Pseudomonadati; Planctomycetota; Phycisphaerae; Tepidisphaerales; Tepidisphaeraceae.
GCGGGCGUGGCGGAAUGGCAGACGCGCGGGACUUAGGAUCCCGUGGCCGCGAGGCUGUGCAGGUUCAAGUCCUGUCGCCCGCA